AAAAUUCAAUAAUAAGAAAGUGAUAGGAACCAAGGUUUAUGAUUAAUCUAGUACCUCAUGACUCCAGUUCUUU
RNAcentral lists this small nucleolar RNA (73 nucleotides) under Tursiops truncatus (common bottlenose dolphin). Its description in RNAcentral is "Small nucleolar RNA SNORD112 (ENSTTRG00000024293.1)". Lineage: Eukaryota; Metazoa; Chordata; Mammalia; Artiodactyla; Delphinidae. The record is from RNAcentral.